UUACGGGAGGCAGCAGUGGGGAAUAUUGGUCAAUGGGCGCAAGCCUGAACCAGCCAUGCCGCGUUCAGGAUGACGGUCCUAUGGAUUGUAAACUGCUUUUGUACAGGGAGAAACACUGGUUCGUGAACCAGCUUGACGGUACUGUAAGAAUAAGGAUCGGCUAACUCCGUGCCAGCAGCCGCGGUAAUA
This 189-nucleotide ribosomal RNA is filed under the name uncultured Bacteroidota bacterium. Its description in RNAcentral is "uncultured Bacteroidetes bacterium partial 16S ribosomal RNA". It matches the Rfam family "Bacterial small subunit ribosomal RNA", at positions 339 to 525 of the family's 1533-position model. Lineage: Bacteria; Pseudomonadati; Bacteroidota. The record is from RNAcentral.